UGUGAACUGCAGGACACAUGAUCAUUGAUAAGUUGAACGCAUAUUGCACGUCGUGGGAACCUACCAUGAUGUACACAUGACUGAGCGCUUAUAUUUGAGAAAUGUAUCGCAUACAUUUAACUACGCCGUGGCAAUCGUCACGAGACGUGCACCAUGAUGUCAACCCGGGUCGCGGCGACCCUCUGGCAUUCAAGAACCCGUGGUUUACAAUAUACUGGCAUUGGAAUUCGAAGUAAGUAGAGCGUCCCGUGUUCCCGCGUGAGGCGGAUAUAUGAGGAGAAGGCGUGCUCAAUGUUGUUGUGGGAGUUUACUGAUGUCUAGCUUCUGCGUAUAUUUAUUUAUUUAAAUAGAAGCGACGACGUCAAAGUAUCAUCGAAGCAUCGGCGGGUAGCACAAAUGAUUCGAGUAUUGAAGUUGAUCAAAGGAACACAAACACAAACUAGCGUAUGGGCAAAGGAAGGUAUCAGUAGGUUAAACCACAUGCGGGCUAACGGCCCGUUAACCGAGGCCAACGGUACAUAUUGGUCAUUGAAAAAUGUAGUCGCAGCCAGUUGUGACUAGGUAAACCGCAAGGUAGAUAAGCCUCAGUUCAUGUGUGACAACCCCCUGAAUUUAAGCAUAAA
RNAcentral lists this ribosomal RNA (623 nucleotides) under Anopheles sp. 15 BSL-2014. Its description in RNAcentral is "eukaryotic LSU rRNA". The stretch from base 1 to 90 matches the Rfam family "5.8S ribosomal RNA", at positions 66 to 154 of the family's 154-position model. Lineage: Eukaryota; Metazoa; Arthropoda; Insecta; Diptera; Culicidae. The record is from RNAcentral.